Molecule: transfer RNA, 69 nt
Filed under: Acrocephalus arundinaceus (great reed warbler)
Lineage: Eukaryota; Metazoa; Chordata; Aves; Passeriformes; Sylviidae
Description: tRNA-Gly
Rfam family: tRNA
About the family: Transfer RNA (tRNA) molecules are approximately 80 nucleotides in length. Their secondary structure includes four short double-helical elements and three loops (D, anti-codon, and T loops). Further hydrogen bonds mediate the characteristic L-shaped molecular structure. tRNAs have two regions of fundamental functional importance: the anti-codon, which is responsible for specific mRNA codon recognition, and the 3' end, to which the tRNAs corresponding amino acid is attached (by aminoacyl-tRNA synthetases). tRNAs cope with the degeneracy of the genetic code in two manners: having more than one tRNA (with a specific anti-codon) for a particular amino acid; and 'wobble' base-pairing, i.e. permitting non-standard base-pairing at the 3rd anti-codon position.
Source: RNAcentral
GCUCUUCUAGUAUAUCAAUUACAAUCGACUUCCAAUCCUUAAAGUCCGGUUUAAGUCCGGAGAAGAGUA